CUUUGAAAAUCGGGACUAGGAGGUGCGGAGUGGUGACUGACGCCUGUAAUCCCAGCACUUUGGGAGGCCGAGGCGGGCGGAUCAUAAGGAAAGACUGAAAACCGCAGAAUGAUAACAAGCUGGAAAAGCAGGAAACAACAGGGCAAAGGAAAAGGAAGACCACAUUCCCCUUCCCUCGGUCAGUAGCCAGCUAGAUGAAGGCUUCCACUGAUGGAGAGCCCGACGAUAUUCUGCAUUCAGUUAAUGGACAAUCAAGGUGCAUAAAGCAUAUGCAUAUCUCCGUCUCCUCUGCCUGGAAUGAUGCACAACAUGUUCUCCAUUGUUUCUUUGGUGAAAAAUAGCCAUAUGGCCCCAUAGGGAUGCGGUACGAUCUGGGAAGUAUUGUCUCUGGCUGAAAAACUGCUCACCAGCAGUAGCUAUAUUCUACUAAGGGGAAUAUGAAUCUUUGAUGGACAGCUAGCCAUCUCUGUCACACUGCCUUUCUUGCCACCUGGUAGGCAUCCAAACUCUUUCUUGUUCUACACAGAAUUCAAUCAUCUGCUUUUUGAGCAAAGCAACCAUAAGUGUCAUACAGCUGCUGCAUCCAGUGAAGAGUCAGGACCUCUAGGUGAUGAAUGAUUCACUCCAGCAGCAGUGAAUAUGACUCCCUGUGCUCUGAAAAUAUAUGAACUACAAGAAAAGUUGUCUAUCUACUCCACUCUCCACCGCCAACAUCCAAUACACAGUGGUAGAGCAGGGACAAAGAAGUACAAUAAAAGCUCACAUUCUAAAAAGAAAAGCAGGGGACGUAUGGCAGUCACUGGUCCACAGUAAUGAUGAAAACUUGAAGGGUAGGCACUGUGAGAUUGUUUAAUCAGGUAAGGGGAGAACUUCUUAAUUAGUCUCUGAUUCUACCUUCUGGGAAGAACUCAUUUGUUCAUUGCUCUAUUUGGCCACUGUCUCCAUGGAUCAGAACUAUCUUCUGGAAUGUUCUGUCUUGUCCAUUAUAUUGCUGGCCGCAUCUGAAGUGGAUUUUAGAAUAUGUGCCCCUACUUGGGGUGUACUUUCACAAAUUUUUUUCCUGUUUGUGCAAGUUUGAGAGCACAGUGACUGUCUGAAGGCUCAAUGAUAGGUUACUAGUUUGCUUAGCAAUAUAAUUUGUCAAAACUUUGUAGGCUUCUUAUCUAUUUGUUUCCAGUUCCAUGUACUAUAACCCCAUCCAAAUUUCUUUUUAAGACCGUAGUUCUCAGGUCAGCUUUUUAAAAUUUUUCCUGCCCAUUGCUUCUCUCUUUUAACUUGAUAGUGACUACUUUGAGGCAAUCUGGAAAAAUAUGAUUGAAUAGCAAAUCCAUGUCAUUAAUGAACCUCCAUUGCUCAAGAUUUAUCAAUCAUAAGACUGUUUGGUGUCUGCAGCAGUAGUGGUUUUUUCUUUGUUUGAUUGUUUUUCCAAUCCUGAAAGUUCCUUUCUCUUGCUCACAUUUAGUUUUGCUUGCAAACUGGUCAAUUUUCAUCUAAGCAUAACUCUUUCUUUUACUACCCUGCUAAACACCACAAUUAAUAAUCAACUAACAUUGCUAACAUGCCUUUCCAAUUAUUUUCCCCUGGAGCAGAGGCUCUUUUUAUUCCCCAUGAACCCCUUUGGUCGUCUACAGAAUCCUAUCAACUUGUUCUCAGAAUUUAAGAAAAUAUAUAAAGUAA
Long non-coding RNA from Cercocebus atys (sooty mangabey), 1677 nucleotides. RefSeq lists it as uncharacterized. The transcript has 3 exons. Lineage: Eukaryota; Metazoa; Chordata; Mammalia; Primates; Cercopithecidae. The record is from RefSeq and is a predicted model, not a curated record.